Molecule: ribosomal RNA, 1053 nt
Filed under: uncultured bacterium
Lineage: Bacteria
Description: bacterial SSU rRNA
Rfam family: Bacterial small subunit ribosomal RNA
Source: RNAcentral
AGAGUUUGAUCCUGGCUCAGGAUGAACACUGGCGGCGUGCCUUAAGCAUGCAAGUCGAACGAUCUGUAGCAAUACAGGUAGUGGCGGACGGUCGAGUAACGCGUGGGGAUCUGCCUUAAAGUUGGACAUAGCUCAUCGAAAGGUGGGGUAAUUUCCAAUGUGAACGUAAGUUCGAAGCCGUAAGGCGCUUUAAGAUGAACCCGCGUCCUAUCAGCUAGUUGGUGGGGUAAAAGCCUACCAAGGCAUCGACGGGUAGCUGGUCUGAGAGGAUGAUCAGCCGGAAUAGCACUGAGACACGGGCUAUACAUCUACGGAUGGCAGCAACUGGGAAUCUUGCGCAAUGGGGGAAACCCUGACGCAGCGACGCCGCGUGGAGGAUUGAAGGCCCUCGGGUUGUAAACUCCUUUUGGGUGGGAAGAUUAUGACGGUACCACCAGAAUAAGCACCUGCUAACUACGUGCCAGAAGCCUCGGUAAUACGUAGGGUGCAAGCGUUAUCCGGAUUUAUUGGGCGUAAAGUGUUGCGUAGGCUGAUUUGCGCACUUUGUUUAAAAGGCUAAGGCUUAACCUUAGUUUUGGGCAAAAUAUGGCAAAUCUUGAUGGCUUAAGAGGGUACUGGAACUUAACAUGUAGCAGUGAAAUGCGUUGAUAUGUUAAGGAACACCAAAGGCGUAGGCAGGUACCUGGGAAGCACAUGACGCUGAGGCACGACAGCUAGGGGAGCGAAGCAGAUUAGAGACCUGCGUAGUCCUAGCCGUAAACGAUGAAUGCUAGUUAUCCCGCAAUUGCGGGACGACGUAAGGUAACCCGUUAAGCAUUCCGCCUGGGGAGUACGGCCGCAAGGCUAAAACUCAAAGGAAUUGACGGGGAGGCGCACAAGCAGUGGAGCAUGUGGUUUAAUUCGAUACAAAGCGAAAAACCUCACCAGGGUUUGACAUGUAGUUGCUAAGCCUAAGAAACUAGGCCUCCUUCGAGGGUACUACACAGAUGGUGCAUGGCUGUCGUCAGCUCGUGGCGUGGGCUGUACCGUUAAGUCGGGUAACGAGCGCAACCC